GCAACUCUUUGUAGUCACUCUUUUUUCUUUUCUUUCGUUUUUUCCUCGUCAGGAUCUGGAAGGGAUUCGUAAUCAGUAGGUCGCCGGUUCGAAUCCGGCGGGUGGCUCCA
RNAcentral lists this transfer RNA (110 nucleotides) under Deltaproteobacteria bacterium. Its description in RNAcentral is "tRNA-Ser". The record is from RNAcentral. Lineage: Bacteria; Pseudomonadati; Myxococcota; Myxococcia.